Molecule: ribosomal RNA, 434 nt
Filed under: uncultured Roseburia sp.
Lineage: Bacteria; Bacillati; Bacillota; Clostridia; Lachnospirales; Lachnospiraceae
Description: bacterial SSU rRNA
Rfam family: Bacterial small subunit ribosomal RNA
Source: RNAcentral
ACGGAAGGCAGCAGUGGGGAAUAUUGCACAAUGGGCGAAAGCCUGAUGCAGCGACGCCGCGUGAGUGAUGAAGUAUUUCGGUAUGUAAAACUCUAUCAGCAGGGAAGAUAAUGACGGUACCUGACUAAGAAGCACCGGCUAAAUACGUGCCAGCAGCCGCGGUAAUACGUAUGGUGCAAGCGUUAUCCGGAUUUACUGGGUGUAAAGGGAGCGCAGGCGGUACGGCGAGUCUGAUGUGAAAGCCCGGGGCUCAACCCCGGUACUGCAUUGGAAACUGUCGAACUAGAGUGUCGGAGGGGUAAGUGGAAUUCCUAGUGUAGCGGUGAAAUGCGUAGAUAUUAGGAGGAACACCAGUGGCGAAGGCGACUUACUGGACGAUAACUGACGCUGAGGCUCGAAAGCGUGGGGAGCAAACAGGAUUAGAUACCCUGGUA